RNAcentral lists this ribosomal RNA (586 nucleotides) under Stenotrophomonas sp. HRRK051. RNAcentral's name for it is "bacterial SSU rRNA". It matches the Rfam family "Bacterial small subunit ribosomal RNA", at positions 102 to 684 of the family's 1533-position model. Lineage: Bacteria; Pseudomonadati; Pseudomonadota; Gammaproteobacteria; Lysobacterales; Lysobacteraceae. The record is from RNAcentral.
ACGGGUGAGGAAUACAUCGGAAUCUACUUUUUCGUGGGGGAUAACGUAGGGAAACUUACGCUAAUACCGCAUACGACCUACGGGUGAAAGCAGGGGACCUUCGGGCCUUGCGCGAUUGAAUGAGCCGAUGUCGGAUUAGCUAGUUGGCGGGGUAAAGGCCCACCAAGGCGACGAUCCGUAGCUGGUCUGAGAGGAUGAUCAGCCACACUGGAACUGAGACACGGUCCAGACUCCUACGGGAGGCAGCAGUGGGGAAUAUUGGACAAUGGGCGCAAGCCUGAUCCAGCCAUACCGCGUGGGUGAAGAAGGCCUUCGGGUUGUAAAGCCCUUUUGUUGGGAAAGAAAUCCAGCCGGCUAAUACCUGGUUGGGAUGACGGUACCCAAAGAAUAAGCACCGGCUAACUUCGUGCCAGCAGCCGCGGUAAUACGAAGGGUGCAAGCGUUACUCGGAAUUACUGGGCGUAAAGCGUGCGUAGGUGGUUGUUUAAGUCUGUUGUGAAAGCCCUGGGCUCAACCUGGGAACUGCAGUGGAAACUGGACAACUAGAGUGUGGUAGAGGGUAGCGGAAUUCCCGGUGUAGCAGUGA